Molecule: ribosomal RNA, 351 nt
Filed under: uncultured Planifilum sp.
Lineage: Bacteria; Bacillati; Bacillota; Bacilli; Caryophanales; Thermoactinomycetaceae
Description: bacterial SSU rRNA
Rfam family: Bacterial small subunit ribosomal RNA
Source: RNAcentral
GGCUCAGAACGAACGCUGGCGGCGUGCCUAAUACAUGCAAGUCGGGCGGGGUUUUGGGAGGCUUGCCUUUCGAAACCCAGCGGCGAACGGGUGAGUAACACGUGGGUAACCUGCCCGCAAGACCGGGAUAACUCCGGGAAACCGGAGCUAAUACCGGAUAGGACCCCGGGUCGCAUGAUCCGGGGUGGAAAGGCGGCGUCAAGCUGCCACUUGCGGAUGGGCCCGCGGCGCAUUAGCUAGUUGGUGAGGUAACGGCUCACCAAGGUGACGAUGCGUAGCCGACCUGAGAGGGUGACCGGCCACACUGGGACUGAGACACGGCCCAGACUCCUACGGGAGGCAGCAGUGGGA